Molecule: long non-coding RNA, 218 nt
Filed under: Elaeis guineensis (African oil palm)
Lineage: Eukaryota; Viridiplantae; Streptophyta; Magnoliopsida; Arecales; Arecaceae
Description: long non-coding RNA (EGUI_LNC006848)
Source: RNAcentral
AGGAGUCACAGGACUGUUUGAGUUGAGCACGAUUCGGAUGAUCUGAUCAGGGUUGACAAUUUAACCCUGUGUCGUCCUAAACACAGAGGUCAAAAGGAUGAAUUAUACAGUAACCAUAUUCACGUAGGUUCUGAGUGUUGCGAUUGCGACCAUUCGACCUAUCCGAUCAUCGGGUACCAUUGCUAGAUGGUCACUUCGAUUAGUACAGAAAUUGGUUC